Molecule: long non-coding RNA, 998 nt
Organism: Dermacentor albipictus
Lineage: Eukaryota; Metazoa; Arthropoda; Arachnida; Ixodida; Ixodidae
Source: RefSeq, a predicted model, not a curated record
ACGAGCUUGGCGCGCAUGGACGAAAAAUGUUGGCGUGCAGUUAGCGCAGUCUGAAUUCUUUCCGAUGCCGUACCACGCUGCUAGCAGUCGCCCACUGCUUAAACAAGAACCGGCACUUUCGUCGGGAUCUGCAGAGAGCAACCAAAAAUGCAUCCCACAGUACCGCCGUUAUGAACGCCCGUCUCCAGCCAGCCGCCGACACACACAAAAAACCAAUACAGUAUGCCGCGGUCGACGAAAUGGCGAGUGAACUUGCGACCGCCCCUCGUGUCACAGCCUGGUGGAAACGCAGCAACUGUUCCUGCAACUCCUACGGUUUCGACCGCGGAUUGCCACUCCCGUGAGGCAUGCAAUUUUUCCAAUGAGGACACCCUCGACCUACGUGCUGCAGCUACCCGUGCGACGAGCUGACGACCGUCAAACAACCUCCACGGCAGCGACAACCUUCCGAUUACAGUGAUCGGCGCUUUGUGCGCAGAUGAAUACUUUGCAAGAACUGAACGCCAAAAUCGCAAUGAAAAAUGAGAACGUCACGGCUACCAUCGCGUUCUUCGCCGAAAUAGUUUCACGGAAUGCUAUUCUGCGACACCUGAGGCUGCCUUCGACGGACUCCCAAUACUGCUCGUUAGCCACGAUCCCAGUGGCCCACCAGCCGCACACCGACGCCGCAAAAUGCAUGGAGCCGCGGCUCACCGCUCUGCGCAAGCCGAACUCGGCGCUCCUCCAUCUUUGCAUUCACUUGCGGUGCUUCGGGGAAGCUGAGUGCUGCGCUUUCUUCGGCGCUCUCGCAGACGACACCCGGAACUUGGUCAGUCUAUUCCAUGAUGCCCGUCGGCAGUGUUUCCAAAGUCCGCAGAACGAUCAGACAGAGCGGCCUGUUUGAUAGGGUUAUCCCCUUACAAAAAUUUUUAAUGUGUUUUUUUAGAAAGUCUUUUGAACUUUCUCUAUAGAACUCUAUUGUGUUUAUUUUGAUUGCCUAUAGAAUUUUCUUAUAGAGU